RNAcentral lists this unclassified non-coding RNA (195 nucleotides) under plant metagenome. Its description in RNAcentral is "partial contains small subunit ribosomal RNA, internal transcribed spacer 1, and 5.8S ribosomal RNA". The record is from RNAcentral.
UCUCCGUUGGUGAACCAGCGGAGGGAUCAUUACCGAGUUUACAACUCCCAAACCCCUGUGAACAUACCAUUUGUUGCCUCGGCGGUGCCUGCUUCGGCAGCCCGCCAGAGGACCCAAACCCUUGAUUUUAUACAGUAUCUUCUGAGUAAAUGAAUAAAUAAAUCAAAACUUUCAACAACGGAUCUCUUGGUUCUG